Monodelphis domestica (gray short-tailed opossum) is the source of this 1035-nucleotide long non-coding RNA. RefSeq lists it as uncharacterized. The record is from RefSeq and is a predicted model, not a curated record. NCBI's taxonomy places the organism in Eukaryota, Metazoa, Chordata, Mammalia, Didelphimorphia, Didelphidae.
CAAACCUUUGUGUGAGAAACUAAAAAGGCAAUGGCCCUGACCUUGGGGAGCUGACCUUCUGGGGGGGGGGCAGUAACGUGUAGAUACAAAACUGUCAUCUCUGGACUCUGCUAAGACCCAUCAGGACCCAUUGGGCCAAUCAGUAGCCUCUCCAUGAUGAUGGCAUCAGAGGUGGGUGACCACUUGAACACUCUUCCCAGAUAACCCAAGACCCAGCCUGCUGAGGCUGUCCUGAGUUGGUUGUGGGCUUGUCCUCUUGCCUGGCCACCCCAGUCCUGGAGGUGGGGCAUCGUGAUGGCUUCUGGUGGAGAGAAGCCCCCUGCUACCUUCCCCAUCACUCAGGAGAUGCCCCUUCUGAGAAGGGAAGUUUGAAGAACAAAGGACCCCACCAAGGCGCCGCUCCCCCUCCAGACUCCCACUGAAGCCUCUUCCUCCUACUGCCCUGCCCCAAACAUGAUUGUGCCCAAGGCCAGCCUUGCUUGCAGCCUUCCCUUGCUGAUGCUGCCCCUUCCUUGUGCUGCGAUCCCUGCUGACUCGCUCAGCCUCAAGUCUUCCGCUAACAAAGGCCUCCUCUUCUGAGUGUCUCCAGCUGCCUUGAAGUCACUUCUAAAUUCUCCAACUACUGUGAUGGACCAGAAUCGAUCCAGUGAGCGAUUGGAGCCCUGGGACAGGGGAAUGGCGGUGAUGUCUAGGAGGUCGCCGGAGACGUAGGCAUGGGAAUUAGGAGAGCGGGCAGCCCGAUGGAUUGGGGAUCUCCCUAGAGGGGCCUGGCACAGUGCUAACCAAGCCCUGGGGACCCGAAGACAAGACCAAAGAAUCUUUGCUGGCAAAGAGCGCCCACUUUACCAGCUGUGGGAGUGGAGAACAACGAGAGGGAAGAAUGGAAGCCAGCAGAAGUUGGGGGGAGAAGAGCGAGAGUAAGAAUAAGAGUGUUGUCUGGAAACGACUCCUCGGGAGCAGGGGUUCUUUCAUUUCUGUUUGUCUUCAUGUAUGUAGAGCCUGGCUAUUGCCUGACACACAGUAGUUGGUUCCUGA